Molecule: transfer RNA, 73 nt
Filed under: Mesocricetus auratus (golden hamster)
Lineage: Eukaryota; Metazoa; Chordata; Mammalia; Rodentia; Cricetidae
Rfam family: tRNA
About the family: Transfer RNA (tRNA) molecules are approximately 80 nucleotides in length. Their secondary structure includes four short double-helical elements and three loops (D, anti-codon, and T loops).
Source: Rfam by way of RNAcentral
GGAGAGGUAGCUCAGCUGGUAGAGUGCUUACCUCAGAAGUAGGAAGUGUUGGGUUCGAUUCCUAGCGUCUCUU